AUAAUAGUUCUUCUCUCUUGAAGAACUUACACACAAAAUCUGAACAAAAAGUGAAGCUAAAACUGAAAAAUCAAAAAUAUUCUUAUCGACGUAUUAUGUUUGCUAUAUUUUGUGGUGAGGCAGUAUUGUUAUGGGAAAUGCCGACAUUGAAUCAAGUAUUGAACGACAUUAAGAUGCAGGUGUCAGUGAACGCUACAACAUUGCGCGACUAUGCUGAAGUUAUCCGUCUGUGGAGAAUUCAUCCGGACAUGGUAGUCCCUCUCGCUUUCUAGGAUGCAUAUCUUUUAUAUUCUAUAUUACAUGUAGGCAUGAUAUAGUGGAGGAUCUUCCACCAGCGUUUCAUUCUCACUUAUUUCAGACAUUGUAAAUGUGAAAUAUCUCCAAGUAUAAAUUUUAAUGCAUUUAUGACCUAUUUCAUUCAUUUAUGUAUCUUGGUAUUGCAUGAUUGUUAUGAACGAUUAAAAACUGCUGUAGAUAAAUCUAAUAUGAGUACAAUGUAUCCUGCUA
Solanum lycopersicum (tomato) is the source of this 507-nucleotide long non-coding RNA. RefSeq lists it as uncharacterized. Lineage: Eukaryota; Viridiplantae; Streptophyta; Magnoliopsida; Solanales; Solanaceae. The record is from RefSeq and is a predicted model, not a curated record.